ACUGCACACUAUUAAAGCUCAGAGUGGAGGCCAUGCUUGGCCAGUGAACUUCUGAGUGUCGGAAGUGUGCUACAUUGAAUGAGGCAGGAUUUUCGCUAACACCAGUAGAGCGUGCCUCUAUGACUGGAGUUGAUAGUGGUCUCUGCCACAUAU
Small nucleolar RNA from Peromyscus maniculatus bairdii (prairie deer mouse), 153 nucleotides. NCBI's taxonomy places the organism in Eukaryota, Metazoa, Chordata, Mammalia, Rodentia, Cricetidae. The record is from Ensembl.